AUCUGGGUGGCUCAGUCGGUUAAGUGCCUGACUUCGGCUCAGGUCACGAUCUCACUGUGAGUUCGAGCCCCACAUCAGGUU
RNAcentral lists this transfer RNA (81 nucleotides) under Felis catus (domestic cat). It matches the Rfam family "tRNA". Rfam says of the family: Transfer RNA (tRNA) molecules are approximately 80 nucleotides in length. Lineage: Eukaryota; Metazoa; Chordata; Mammalia; Carnivora; Felidae. RNAcentral also lists the same sequence under 1 other name. The record is from Rfam by way of RNAcentral.